UCUCACACACUCAUAACAUAAAAAAAAUUUCAUAAGUGUCGCAAGAACAAUCACUUCCUUCAGUUAGAUAGUAAAGGUUUUGGCCUUGGAUCUUUAAAGUAAAGUCGUAUUACAUUGGAAACUUUGGUGACAUUUUUUGGUGGAUCCAUGUCAGGAUAACAUUCUUGGAGCAUCACUUCUACAUAGAUGUCUGUCGGGAACACUCUAGAGGCAAAAUUCUCGGAAUCGUCAAGAGAUGGUAGACUUUCUUCUGAGUAUAGUUAUUAGCUUGAGAUAAUGACGCAACAUCACUAGAGACUAUUUUUAACGAACUUCUAAGUUUAGAUAGGUGUUUUGUAUGUUCAGCCACUCCACUAAUAUUUUUGUUUUUGAAUUUUUAAACUAUUUUAUUUAUUAUUUUAAUUAAGUUCAAUAUA
Molecule: non-coding RNA, 416 nt
Organism: Cicer arietinum (chickpea)
Lineage: Eukaryota; Viridiplantae; Streptophyta; Magnoliopsida; Fabales; Fabaceae
Source: RefSeq, a predicted model, not a curated record